RNAcentral lists this ribosomal RNA (238 nucleotides) under uncultured bacterium. RNAcentral's name for it is "partial 16S ribosomal RNA". It matches the Rfam family "Bacterial small subunit ribosomal RNA", at positions 60 to 291 of the family's 1533-position model. The record is from RNAcentral.
UGCAGUCGAGCGGCAGCACAGAGGAGCUUGCUCCUUGGGUGGCGAGUGGCGGACGGGUGAGGAAUACAUCGGAAUCUACUCUGUCGUGGGGGAUAACGUAGGGAAACUUACGCUAAUACCGCAUACGACCUACGGGUGAAAGCAGGGGAUCUUCGGACCUUGCGCGAUUGAAUGAGCCGAUGUCGGAUUAGCUAGUUGGCGGGGUAAAGGCCCACCAAGGCGACGAUCCGUAGCUGGU